This is a long non-coding RNA of Mus musculus (house mouse), 1962 nucleotides long. RefSeq annotates it as predicted gene 14170. The record is from RefSeq and is a predicted model, not a curated record. The transcript has 4 exons. Lineage: Eukaryota; Metazoa; Chordata; Mammalia; Rodentia; Muridae.
GCAGCUGUACCAGGCUUUUCCACUAUUGCUCUCGGAGGGCGGGAGGGGGGCGGGGGGGCCUACUUGGUUCAGAAUUCUCUUCCCUGGCUCGGGCACCAUCAGAGCCUGGAGAUGAAGCACUGCACAAUAGCAGCAGCUACCAGUGCAGGGGCAGAAGGCAGCACAGUGGUCUCCACUACCAGGUUGCCACCUUAACACCUCUUUACCUUCCUGCGGAUGAUUAGAAAUGGCUCACAUAAGGCUACACAACAAGAAGGAUAAGGACGCAGAAACCUCCCAAGCCCCAGAUGCACAUCAUGAGCUUGCACCGCCUCCAGGGGCAGUCAAAUUUCUCUGGACAGUGAGGGCAAGUCCACAGGUCUGCCCGAGAUGUGAUUAGGGGACACGGGGCUCUAUCACAGAGAUGAGAAAAUCAAGCACAACAGGGUUUCACGUCUUACACAAGGUCACCUGCCCUGAGGUGCAAGAGCCAAGACAGAAUGCAAGGUGGCUCGCUGGGGAGAGAUGAGUAACAGUGGCGUAGCAGUGCACACACUCCGAAGUGACUAACCAGGAGUGGGCAGCAUGUGGAAAGGCACGCACACAGGCUGCCUGGAUCAGCCACGCAACAGGCAAGCGGGGUGAGACAAAGCUUUUGCCUUCCUGGGCCUCAGGCUCUCUCUCUCUAACAAAUUGAAUAAUGCCUCCUGGUUAAUAGGCUAUAAUUUAAAAACAAGUGUCAGCCUUGUGCUCUGGUUUAGCCUGAGUCCCCAUGGGCUCAUGUGUUAGAAGCCCCGCCCUAGUGUGGCAAUGGUAAGAGCCAAGUGGGACCUAUGGAAUGGGGGUGUAGCUCAGCGGUAGGGUGCUUGCCUAGCCCACAGCCCCAGGUCAGGUCACUAGCAUCGCAUACAACUAAGCAUGUCGGCACAGGCCCGUAGUCCCAGCACUCAAGUGAAGGCAAGAAGAGCAGAAUUGAAGGGCAUCCUUGGUUCACAGUGAGUUUCCAGCCCAGGCUGCCCUGUCCCAAAAUAAUCAAGAGGUGGGAGGCCCUUGGAUUAUGUGGGCAGAUUCUACCCUCAAGAGAUUAAGGUGGAUCGGUCUCACAGUAUAGCCCUGGCUGGCCUGGAACUCACAACAAUCCACCUGCCUCUGCCUCCCCAGGGCUGGGUUAAAAGUGUAUGCUACCACACUUGGCACUAGGGUAGCUUUCAUGAGGCCUGGUUGUUCUUUCAAGACCAAAUAUCAUAAAAGGCCAAGUCUGGCCUGGCCUGUCUCACUGUGUGACCUCCCUCUUAGAUUCCCACUGUGACAAUGUUAGCUGUCAUGUGAGCAGCCACAGAGGACCGUCAAUAGGGCUGACAGCAUGCUACUGCGACUUUCAGCUUUGAAUACCAUGAACAAAAUAAAAGACUUUUUGUUCUAAUUCAACCUGGGAUGUUUCAUUAUAGUGGGAAUCCGACCAGAACACCUCUGCACGGUACCACACACACUCAUGCCUGAGCCCAGAACCUUCUCCUGCAGUUUGUCUUUUAUUUAUUUUUGAGACAGCGUCUCGGGGCAGCCUCAGACCUGUGAGCCUCUUCAGGUACGGUGAUAUUCCACCUGGCCCAGCACCUUCCCUUUUCUCAGAAACAGAACUGUAGGCUUCCUGGAACUUCAGACCUGUGCUCGGGUCUGCGUCUGUCAGGCCUCUGCAAUGUGAAGCCAUCCUCUUUUGCUAACACUUGUGCCAUGGGGAAUCAUAUCUACCUUCUGAACGAACUCUCCUGAGUGAUGCUGACCCCGGAUCGGCAUUGCUUCAGGAUGGUGCGGGAGAGCAGAAGGCUCACACUGACCCAGCCAUGCAUGCUUGGUCACUGAGUUCAUAGGAGUAGCCACACGGGAGCUCCCUGCUGGCUGUGGAGAGGACGCCUACCUCUGCAGAUUUCUUCUCUCUAAAUCCCUGUGACUGCUCUGGGGACUCGGAGAACUGUAUUCCACUCU